This is a non-coding RNA of Pogona vitticeps (central bearded dragon), 363 nucleotides long. Lineage: Eukaryota; Metazoa; Chordata; Lepidosauria; Squamata; Agamidae. The record is from RefSeq and is a predicted model, not a curated record.
UACUAUUUGAUCCAAUAGCUGUGGUCUCUAUAUUGCCACAGUUCUAGCCAUGCCUGCAUCAAAUACAGCUUCAUGAGGAGGGAUGCUUGGGCAAAUCAAGGAUAGAUUUUUCCCCCUGUACGGAAACUUGAGCAAGUUCCAUUUCCCCAAAGAUCUAUGCGUUUUGAUGAUCAGCAAAGAAAUACAACAUCUUUCGAGCUAAAGAUGGUUCAGAAGAGGUAAAGCCAAAAAGAGGUGAAGGAUCUCCCCACACUCACAUGUCAUCAUGAAAUUAUUUUGUCUAGCAUUGUUCCACAGAUUCACUGGAAGUUAUCAGGACACAGCCUCAUCUUCUGAAAUGAAUAAAGAGUCAUCAUGUGUGUC